RNAcentral lists this long non-coding RNA (10737 nucleotides) under Equus caballus (horse). RNAcentral describes it as "lncRNA (ENSECAG00000042777.2)". The record is from RNAcentral. Lineage: Eukaryota; Metazoa; Chordata; Mammalia; Perissodactyla; Equidae.
GUGAGUCAGUGUUUGGCCGGGCCAGGCCCUAGCCGCUUCCCAUCAGGGCGGGCGGGGCUGCGGCUCCCUCCGGCCAGGGGUGAGGGCCUGAGUCAGCGAGUCAGGUAACUGGAGGAGCAUGCGGGGCUUUCCCACCUGCACCCCAGGGCCGCUGAGCAGGCUGGGCCGCCUCCCACAGUGGAGAAGCCUCUGCACCCGGGACAGCUCAGGCGCUGCCUGCCUCCACGGCCAACCCCGGGCCCCCAGUCCCGAGAGACACGGAGAGCCUCUCCUCUGCCUGAAACACAUCGGGGGCCCAGAACCCUAGCCAAGGGCCUUUCCUGGGGGAAGACAAGAGCUGUGAAUCCAACGAGACCUGGGAAGCCAGGGAAAGCCUUCCUGAACAGGGCACACUUGAACCAAGGCCCGAAGGAGAAAGAGAAAGUAAGUUAUUCAUUCCUACCGGUGGGAAGUAACCAGAAUGUUGCUCACAGCGAUGGUGUUAAUUCCAGCUGGACUCCGAGGCCUGCUCAGGGCUCCGGACCGAGGCCCGCUCCGCCUUGUAACAGGAGGUGAGCAAGUUCUGGGGGAUGUCAAGGCCUGCCAGCACCCAAGUGGGGCUUUUCCCAGGUGCUCAGAACAAUCAAAGAACCACAGGUGACAUCCUCCCGGGUGUCACCUGUUAGCCAACUCAUCUUGUGUUGGAGAUUUCCUGGGUGGACAUGGGGUCGGUGUGGUCCUUGAGGGUUAGUCUCCCUAGAGCCUUUGCAGGUGUGUCAGCGGGAAGGGCCCAAAAGACGGGGAGCCUGUCGGGCAGCCACUGCCCCAGCCCAGACAGAAUCCAGAGAAUUCCACAUUAACUGACGCCUCCCCUUUUCAAGUCCGUUCACCUCCGUUGGGCAGGACAGGUGACGUCUGGGUCAGUGCUGGGCUCUCUCUCCUAUUCCCUUGAUGUGUUUGCCCACUUCUGUGCCAACACCAUGCAGUUUUAUUUUCUGUACCUCUGCCACACAUUCUAAUGUCUAGACAAGUCCUCCCUCUUGACUCUUCCUGUUCAGAAUUGUCUUGGCUAUUUUCUUCGCACAUUUCCUCUUUCAUGAGACUGCUAACAGACAGGCCUCGAGAUGCUAAUGACAGACCCCGAGCCACAAAGGGCUUCAAGCUUCAUGGCCCAUUUCCAAGGCUCCCAGGAACCCGGGGCAGUGUGGCUGGGUGUGGGGAAGGCAAGCUGGGAGGAACGGGGGGCCUUUCCACCACCCCCAACACACCAGUCCUGGUGGGUCACAAAGGAGCCCUGUCUGCCUGUUAAGGGCUUUGAACACCCUUAAAAAUAGCAGCAUUUGCCACUUCAUGUUUCCCCCGUACACUGUGUACACGCUCUCUUUCUCUAAGUCAACUUGAGUUGUAAAGUUUUAUUUAAACUUAUAGAAAACAUUUUCUUCUUGCUUUAAAUGAGAAACCAGUAUGAAAGGUGAGGCGUUUGCUGUCAGUGCCUCACCCUUCUCCCCUCCCGCUCACUUUUCAUGAACACAGACCAGAUUCCAGCCGCCUGUCAGCACCUGCCCUCCUAUCAUUAUUAUUAAUUAUUAUCAUCAUUAUUAUUUUCUUGAGGUCACGUUGGUCGAUAACAUUGUGCACAUUCCAGAUGUACAUCAUUGUAUUUCAGCUUCUGUGUAGACAGCAUGGUGUUCACCACCAAUAGCCUAGUUUUAAUCCAUCACCAUACAUAUGUGCCCCUUCACCCCUUUUGCCUUCCCCCCACCCCAUUCCCCUCUGGUAACCACCAAUCUCUUCUCCUUGUCCACGUGUGUAUCUUCCACACAUGAGUGAGAGCAUACGGUGUUUGUCUUUCUCUGUCUUAUUUCACUCAGCAUAAUACCCUCAAGGUCCAGCCAUGUUGUCACAAAUGGCAUGACUUCGUCCUUUCUUAUGGCUGAGGAGUAUAUAUACAUACACACCAUGUCUUCUUCAUCCAUUCAUCUGUUGAUGGGCACUUGGGUUGCUUCCAAGUCUUGGCUAUUGUGAUAAUGCUGCAAUGAACACAGGGUGGAUAGAGCUUUUCAAUUACUGAUUUCAUGUUCUUUGGAUAAAUACUCAAAAGUGGAAUAGUGGAUCAUAUGGUAUUUCUAUUUUUAAUUUUUUGAGAAAGUGGAGACUAAAUAACAUGCUACUGAACAACUAUUGGAUCAAUAAAUAAAUCAAAGGAGAAAUAAAAAAAAUACCUGGAGACAAAUGAAAAUGAAAACACAACAUAUCAAAACUUAUGGGAUGCAGCAAAAGCAGUACUAAGAGGGAUGUUUAUAGUAAUACGGGCCUACCUCAAAAACAAGAAAAAUCUCAAAUAAACAAUCUAACACUUUACCUAAAAGAGCUAGAAAAAGAAGAACAAACAGAGCCCAAAGUCAGUAGAAGGAAGGAAAUAAUUAAAAUAAGAACUGAAAUAAAAUAGAGACAAAAAACAAUAGAAAGGAUCAGUGAAACUAAGAGCUGGUUCUUUGAAAAGAUAAACAAAAUUGACAAGCCCUUAGCUAGACUCUCUAAGAAAAAAAGAGGGAGGGGACGGCUCAAACAAACGAAAUCAGAAAUGAGAGAGGAGACAUCACAACAGACACCACAGAAAUGCAAAGGAUCCUAAGAGAAGACUACGCAAACCCGUAUGUCAACAAAUUGGAUAAUCUAGAGAAAUGGAUAAAUUCUUAGACGCGUACAACCUCCCAAAUCUGAAUCAAGAAGAAACAGAGACUCUGAAUAGACCAAUCACAAGUACAGAUUGAAACUAAUCAGAAACCCCCCUAGAAACAGAAGUCCAGGACCAGGCGGCUUCUCUCAGCCCCCAGGCCCCGGCCCUGGGUGGCAGCUGGAAGUGCUGGGAAGCAUCACUCCAGGGAGCCGCCCUCAAUCAAAGCCGGCAGGAGAGCAUGGACACCUCCCGCUGCUCCCCGGCCACCCCCGCCCCACCCGGGGGGUGACUCAGAAGGCACGGUCUACACUAUCUCCCAGAGUCCCACAGCGGACUGAGUCCCACAGCCCGGAGCGCUUACUUCUCCAUAACGCUCUGCGCUGGCUGCGCUCACUUCCCCACUCCCCUACCAGUGUUUUCUGGGGUCGCCUCCCAAAUGAACCGCUUGCUUUCAAAUUGUUCUCUUAGGGUUCUGCUUCCAGGGAAACCCAACCCAAGGCGCUCACUGGAAAUUGGAGACAUUCAGCCAAUUACACAAAGGGGCAAAACAAAACCAGAAACCGCUACCGCUGGGGGCUUGGCGCUGGGGCUGCUGUUUCCUAAAAAGAAAGAACAGGGGGAGGAAAGUGGUGAAGACACACAAGCCCCGGUCAGCCUUUCCUUCCCUGUGGCACCAUCAGGAGGAUGGGAAGGGAGCUGAAAUGACUCUUGCACACUGUGAGUUGAUGGGGUCUCAGUCGGGGUCCCCAUACCCCACACAGCCGCCGCCAGCCCCAACCACGGCCCACCAUUCAUGAACAAUUUGUCGCAGGCUGGCUCCGAGGAUGGAGGACCUCUCGGCCCAGGUUGGGCAGCUGGCAGGACACAAGGCUGGUGGGCUUGGCAGGCAGUGCUCAGCACUGGGCUGGGCACAGGGGCCAGAGGGGGCCAGGAAGAGGACCUGUGGUCCCACCGUUCAGGCAAUGAGCCUGACACAUGGGCUGACGGCCUAACUCUGCUUUGAGUGCGUCUUGAGAAGGGAGAGCUCAUGGCCUCCCUCAUUCAUUCAUUCAUUCAACAAAUGUUUAUUGAGGACCUACUGUGUGCUGGGCGAGGCACUGGGGAGACCAAGAGGACAGACCAGAAUCCCUCAUGGUGCUGACACUCAAAUGGGGGACACAGACAAGAAACAAGUGAACACAGAAAUAAACUGGAAUGAGAGUCUUUGGGGCUACAAAGAAGAUAAACGGAAUGAUGGGAUAAAAAGUAGAAGGAGUGUUUGACAGUAUUGGCCUGGGGGGGGCCUCUGUGGAGGGGUCGUUUAAGCUCAGAAUGGAAUGUGGAGAAGAAUCCAGCCAUGCAAAAAGCUAGAGACAGAGGGUUCCAGAUAGCAGGGACAGCAUAUGCAAAGGCCGGGGGUGGGAGUGAGCUCAGAGUGUUGGAGGAACAGGAGCAGGCUGGUGUGCUGGAGGAGGGGUGGUGGGAGGCUGGGGUGACACGGUCCCCCGGGCCGGGCCAGAGUGAAGGGAUGCCUGGGAUGCGUUCGUGGGAUCGAUGAGUCACUCGGGAAGGCGUCCUCGGGCACUGGAUGGAGAGCUCGGAGGGCACUGGAUGGAGAGCUCGGAGGGGAGCUGAAGGUGGUGGAUCCGGGAGGCGUCUUCUCUUGGUGUCUUUGUCAGUGGAAGGGGAGGCCCAGGAGAAUGACCUUGCUCUGCAUGGGGCCAGACUGCAGUGGGGAGGGGCUUCGGGUCCCACGACCACGUCUAUGUCGUGAGGCGCUAUUUGCUGAGAACCUGUGCACCAGGCUCUCCGUGACCGGGUCAGAGGCUGCCGGACACAUCCCCUCCCGGGAAGACGCUCGCAGGGAGAGGAAAUUGCAACACAGUGCCGUGAGUUUUCCAGGGAAGGGCCUUUCAAGUUGGCUUCUGAAGGAUGACGAGGAGCUUGCGGUAGGGAAACCAUGACCCAAAGGGCAGAAACCCUUCCUCUUGUUUGUCACUGUGCCCCAGCACCCAGGACGGGGCCCAGCACAGGGCAGGCGCUCGGUUGAUAACCGUUGAGAGAACGAAUGGGAACUGUCCGCACUUUGGUUAUUCAAGCAACGGCCUUCCCGAUUUUUGUGCGGUUUGCAUUCCAGACCUACUGUUACUUAAUGUUUUUCUUCAAGUUGACUUAACUUUCUAUUUAAAUAAAUUUGUUUAGAAGGGAAACAUUUGAUAUUAUCGCUAGAACUGAAAAAAGCAAAGAACACUUGCCGCAAAUCAAAGAUAACCAGAAAAAUCCUCAUGAUGAAAACCAACGAUGUUAUCAGGGUCUCCCCGUUAAGGGGGCAAAAGGACAAGCGGCAGACUGGGAGGAAAUAUUCGCAGAUCACACAUCUGACGAAGGACGGACUCGGAUCCAGAAUACAGAAAGAACCCUCCAGGCCACGAAUAAGAAAACAAUCUGAUUUUUUAAAUGGACAAAAAGUUUGAUCAGACACUACUACACCAAAGAACAUAUACGGAUGGCAAAUAAGCCCGUAAAAAGACGCUCAACAUCAUUAGUCAGCAGGGAAACGCAAAUUAACAUCACGACGUCAUCCCGGUAUACACCUAUGAGAUGGCUAAAAUUUUUUUAAAAUUGACAAUACCAAGUGCUGGCGAGGAUGAGAAGCAACUGAAACUUUCGCCCAUUGCUGGUGGCAAUGCAAAAUGGUACAGACACAGGUUAGCGGUUUCUGAGUAAGUCAAACAUGUACUUGACCGCAUGACAUAGCAGUUUGACCCCUAAGCCUUUCCCCAAGAUAAAGAAAAAUUAUGUUCACGUGACAACCUGUUUGCAAAUGUUCAUAGUGGCUUUAAUUAUAUCACUAAACACUGGAAACAGUCCAAAUAUCCCUCACGUGGUGAACGGGUACGCAGGCUGCGGUACGUCCAUACGCUGGAACGCUGCUCAGUGAUAACAAGGAAUGUUACUGAAAAACGUGCUGAGAACACACAGCGAAAUGAACACAUCUCAAAACCGCGAUGCUGAGUGAAGAAAGGCAAUGCCCUGCAGGACUCCACUUCCAUGACAUUCCGGAAACACAUCAGAUCUAAAGUCCAAAAACAGGUGCCACUGACCCAUGGUGACAGAAGUCAGGCUAGCGUUCAAGGUGCAUCAAGCAGAGCGCGUCUGUGGAGUGUGGCACAGCCCCACACAAAGCUCCCAAGAGUCUUGCUAGACACGACCGUGUGCCGAAGGCAGGGGGCCCGAGACCUGCUCCUUUCCAGAAAGAUCAGCAGGUAUUUGGUGUUAGACACAGGUCAGCGCCACGCGGAGACUGUCCUUGGCGUAAAGGAAGGACUGUGGCAGAUUCGCAAGGGGAAGAACCCACCACGCGCCCGGACGACAGCUGGUGCUCUGUCCCUGCGCCCUGCGAAACCGUGACACGCAGCCCCGGGGGCGCCCAUCGCCCACUGGGAGAGCACUCACGUGUCUGAGACAGCGUGCUGGCGGGCACGGCAGGGACACGGGCGCGGCACUGGGAGGGCGCAGCUCCCAAAGCAGAGGAGCCCACAUUUAGCUGGUGCAGUUCAGAGGAGGGCACUCACUUUUGCCGUUUGCGUCUCUGCGUCCCUCGGCACUACCUAGUCACCCCUCCAAGCUUUCGCAUUGGUCGCUCCUUCUGCUGGAGUUACUCCCUUCUCCCACCUGGACCACCCGACCCAUCCUAAACUCCCCUGGGGGGCCUCCUCCUUCUUCUCCCCGUCACUUGCAAGUCCCUUGCCGUUGCUGCUUUGGGGUCACUAUGCAUGUUACCUCCUCUGCCCAGACCCUCGUCCCUUCCCCUCCUCCAGGCCCACGGUCAGUCAGAACCUUUUGUAUGCAAGUGACAGAAAACCAGCCCAAACUGUUUUCAGGCAAAAAUGGGAAAUGCAGCAGCUCACGAAACUGAAAAGUCCAAGGGUGUGUGACUUCAGGUAUGGCUAGAUCCAGGGGUUCAAGCCCUGUUCAGCCCUGUGCUGAUCUCUGUCAGGCAGGCUUUUCCCUGUGACACCCCCAACGCUCCGGGCUUUCACUGGCUCUCUCAGUCCAACGGAAACGCUGCAUGUCCUUCGCAGAGUUCCCAGGAUCCACUUUCCUUGGGCGGGUUUAGCAUGUGUCCAUCCCCAGGCGAGUCGCUGGGCCAGACUUGGGCAUGUGCCCACCCCUGGAGACAGGGUCCCGGGACACCCCACCCAACCUCAGGGACUGACAUGGGGGAGGAGGAAGUUCUCCGGUAGAAAAUUCAGGUGUAACAGGGCACUGACCUGUCCGUAACUUGCCAUCUUUUCCUGGGAAAGUCUAACUCAUCCCAGCAUGCUGUGUGACCUCAGGCCAACCCCUUCCCCCCUCUGGGCUUCAUGUUCCCCUUCUGGAAAAUGGGCAGGAGGCUGCUUGAAUUCCAACAUUCCAGAACUCUGGGACAGCUUCCAGAACUGGCAACUGCUCCAUAAAUCCCAGGAACGUUCUGGAACUUCUGGGGACGGAAGUGGAGCAUCAGCCAGAGCCCUCCUCAGCCUGCGGCCCGGGAACAUGCUUAGAAGAUGACAAUUGGGCUCCCUUGGGCCGAAAUUCCACUCCCGUGGGGGCCUUGCCAAGGAAAACAAGCCCAAGAAGCAGGCAUUAAAGGUGAGCAUAUUUGACGAGUUUUAAGAUGACAAAUUAUUUACACAGGUGUGAGAACCAUCCCCUCGUGGCGGCUUUCUUCCUUUCUCUUCCUCCCCUUUCCAAAUUCUUUCCCCCAAGGGCGCUGACAGACGUGCCAAGGGAGGGGGCGGCUGGCGGUGAGGACCUGCCCACAGUGAGUCCUUAAAGCCCGGGCCCCAGGGGAGGAGGCGGAGCCGCAGGACAGCGGGUCGCACCAGGGGGCUCUGGUCACCCCUCCUCUACCUGCUUGCUCCCCACCCUGUCGCCUGGGGAGGCACGAGCCUGAGGUCCGGGCAUUUCAAGGCUCCCUGAGUCCUUCAGGAGGAUGGUGCCCAGGCCACCCCCCGGGAAAGCAGUUCCCAGGGUCACACAGCCAGCUCAUGCUCAACUUGGAGCUAACGAGGAGAGAGGUGGGGAAAGCAAUUGUUCUCGAGCACCUACUGUGUGCCUGACACUGAGCGGAGCCCUGGGAAUACACUGUGAAUGGAACAGCCCCAAACCCCUGCCUGGAGCCGACAAGGAAACAGGCCAGGAGGAAACUGAGGCACAGAGAAGGGCAGGGACUUGCCCAGGGUCACACAGCAGAAGCAGAUCCCAGUCUCUUCCAUCUGGCUCCCAAGCCCGUGCUCCUGUGCUUCUGAGAGGUGAGGGGGCAGGAACGAGGGGUGUCCAGGACCUGCCAGCUCCCCCGCCUGCAGCUCUGCCCUCAGGGUGCGGGGCAUCUGGGGGCCGGCCCUCUGCUUCCUGUGGGAAGAAAGCGGAGGCUGAUUUAGCUGCUGAGUCAUGGGGUACGACAGGCUUCCAGGCCACGGAGGGCUCUGCCUCAGUUUACCCACCUUGAAAAUGGGUUUAAUAACACGUCUGCCCGCAGUGCCGACUUCAGAGGGAGCCGGGAAGGUUAAUUACCGCCGGCAGCUCCGGAACCUGAUGAAAGCGGGGAGGUGGGCGUAGUGACCGCGCGGGUCAUGACUCCCAGCGAGCGGAGGCUGGAGAGGGGUCGCACCCGCUUCUGAUGCAACCCCAGGCCCGCUGCUUUCCGGAGGUGGGGGCCCAACAUGCCGUAAACAUCUGCGUUUGACCGCCGUCCCGGCCCCCAGACCCCCGCACCCGGGGCCCUGCGAGCCGCCCGGGCUCCAGUCGCAUCUCUGCCACUCCCCUGCCGGACGCCUGGGCCGCGCUCCUCCCCUCUCGGGCCUCAGUUUCUCCGUCUGCGCAGUGGGGCUGAGAGCCUGGCCCGUCCACAGGGCGGGCUGCGGUCAUUGCUCACACUCACGCAGGCGCUGUGCAGCGCCCCCAUUUCACCUCCUCAGCUGCCUGGUUUGAGGGCAAAAAGGGCACGUCGAGCCACAGCCGCCCACGCCAUCAGCCGCCCCGGCCUCCUUGCCCUGCUGGGAAAUGGGGCAGGACUUUGCUAGAAAUAAAUAAACGGGGUUUAAAACACCCCUGGGGCUAUUGAUUGGCCUCUUGUCAGCCCCCAUUGGCCCCCAGCACCGGGCUCCAACGCCCCUGCCCCUGGAAGCCCCGACCCUCCGCCCCCGGUCCUGGGUCGGGAUCUAGGCCCACCCCCGCCCCCGCGCACGCGCACACCGCGUCCUGGCUCUUGAUCCCGCUGUGCACGCGCAGCUGGUCCCCGGGGAUGCCUGGAUGCUUCUCCUCUUGCAGGGUCGGCUCAGCGCGGGACAGGUUCUGGGGCCGGAGCCCCUCCUCCCCGCUCUGACCCCUCCGCGAGGCAGCCGCGUGCCCGCCUCACAGGUGGGGACACUGAGGCUCUGAGCUGCAGACGCCAGAGCCCGGGGCCUGCAGGAGGCGGAGGCCCACGUGGGGUCUGACCCGGGCCCCUGGGCUCACCGGCGCCUCGGGGCCGGGCCCUCCGCGACGACGCCGGGAGCAGGUGCAGGUCAGGUCCAGGCCGGCUGCUGGCGGGCAGAGCGGGGUGCGGGGCUGGCGCGGGCUGGGGGCUGGUGCCCGCCCUCCGAGCCCCCCGAGCCCCCUGAGCCCCCUGCCCCGCACCCCCGCCGCGCUGGCCGGGCCGACCCCGAACCCGCCCCGGCUCCCCGCGCCCCGCCUCUGCGCCCGUGGUGCCCCACACCCUGCCCGCUGGCGUCGUCUCUUGGUUGAGGUCUCUGUUCUAAUGUCGCCUCCUCAGCGGCCCUCCCAGGCUCCCUCGGUCACACUCUCUGCUGUAUUCCCCUCGGAGCCCCCAUAACUCUGAAACGACCUCACAUUCCCCGCUCCACGGACACGGACCCGAGUCCUGAGAACAGAGGGGUUUCUGUUUUGUUGGCUGUCACAUCUCCAGGACCAGGUAGAGCCCCCGAACACAGUGGUGCUCAAUAAUUGUUUGUUGAUGUAAUAAAAAAGUCUUUAAAAGAUAAGAAUAACUGUAUGCUGAGGGGAGGGGUGGACAUCCCAGGGGACGGAUGUGUCACCGAAGGACUGAAGAACUUCCCCAGGUCUUAGUGUGGUCAGUGGCAUCGACGUGACAAUGGCAAUACUGGUUGCGGGCACUGGCUGUGCUGGGCGCCGUUGGCACACCGGCUCGCUCAGUCCUCGCAGAGGCCCCGUGAGGUCAGUCCCAUGCUGACCCGCAUUCUCCAGAUGAGGAAAGUGUGCUUUAGAGAGGUGAAGGGACUUGCUCCCGGUCAGCAGAGGCCACCAUGCCCUGCCCCCUGACCUCCAGAGCUUCAAGGUCCCCAAAAGAUGACACCGCCCCUGAUUCCCAGUGCAGCCCAGAGAGGUGGUGUGUCCUGCCUGAUGCCCCCAAGCUGGUCAGCCGCCCGGCGUGCGGCUGGCUGGCUCCCUGGCAGUCGCUCAGCGCGUCAGGAGGGCGGGCAGCCUGGCGGUUGGCCUGUCCUGGGACGCGGGCAGCCAGCAGUUUCUCUCCCCGGACUUUACUGUACAUGAUUCAGCGCCAGCCCCAGUUGUGAAAUCUGGGAAUCUUGUGGGCAAGGCCAGGCCCGGGGGAUGGCUGUCUGGGAAAGGGAGGCCGGGAAGGGGUUAAGGGGGGCGGCGGGCCCCCCUGGGGAGGCGCUGGGCCAGGCCAGCCGAGAGCACACCAGUAGCACCGGCCGGCCACCGCCUGCGGCCUGACUCUGACAUCACAGCUGCGUCAGUCCGGCCGGCCCCAGCCCCCCACUUCCUUCCCUCCCGCAGCCCGCGUCCCCAGCCACCUCCCCAGCCUCACUGUCCGCUCCUAAGAAACGGCAGCCUCAGUCUUCCCCGGGAGGGAGGGGUGGACCGGGAGAGGGCGAUGACACACGUUGCUGUGCAUACAGGAGGCGCUUAAGUGAGAGCAGUGAUGGAUUUGAGCCAAACUCCAGUCCUGUGAGCAAGACAGGGCGGUGAGAGGCGGGGGGUUCCAGAAGGGGAGGGACUUGCCCGGGGUCACCUGGCUGCAUGUCACAGUCACUGGGAUGUCACUGAGACCCGCGGCUCGCCCCCCCCCC